RNAcentral lists this long non-coding RNA (205 nucleotides) under Macaca mulatta (Rhesus monkey). RNAcentral describes it as "lncRNA (ENSMMUG00000055337.1)". The record is from RNAcentral. Lineage: Eukaryota; Metazoa; Chordata; Mammalia; Primates; Cercopithecidae.
AUGUCAGCGUUGAAGGUUACUGCUUUUGAUUUUGACAGUAUCCCAGAACCGUGUGGGCACAUGAACAUUCCAAAGAAGAUACUUCCAGGUUCUUCACAUGCUGGAUAUGCACAGAGGUUGAGAACAGAAGGAAUGAAACAGAUCAUCCCAGAAAGACCACGUAAUCAAAAAUCACCACUUUCCAUACGGUAUGUCCUGCUAUGAG